CAGCGGCGGACGGGUGAGUAAUGCCUAGGAAUCUGCCUGGUAGUGGGGGACAACGUUUCGAAAGGAACGCUAAUACCGCAUACGUCCUACGGGAGAAAGCAGGGGACCUUCGGGCCUUGCGCUAUCAGAUGAGCCUAGGUCGGAUUAGCUAGUUGGUGAGGUAAUGGCUCACCAAGGCGACGAUCCGUAACUGGUCUGAGAGGAUGAUCAGUCACACUGGAACUGAGACACGGUCCAGACUCCUACGGGAGGCAGCAGUGGGGAAUAUUGGACAAUGGGCGAAAGCCUGAUCCAGCCAUGCCGCGUGUGUGAAGAAGGUCUUCGGAUUGUAAAGCACUUUAAGUUGGGAGGAAGGGCAGUAAGCUAAUACCUUGCUGUUUUGACGUUACCGACAGAAUAAGCACCGGCUAACUCUGUGCCAGCAGCCGCGGUAAUACAGAGGGUGCAAGCGUUAAUCGGAAUUACUGGGCGUAAAGCGCGCGUAGGUGGUUCGUUAAGUUGGAUGUGAAAGCCCCGGGCUCAACCUGGGAACUGCAUCCAAAACUGGCGAGCUAGAGUACGGUAGAGGGUGGUGGAAUUUCCUGUGUAGCGGUGAAAUGCGUAGAUAUAGGAAGGAACACCAGUGGCGAAGGCGACCACCUGGACUGAUACUGACACUGAGGUGCGAAAGCGUGGGGAGCAAACAGGAUUAGAUACCCUGGUAGUCCACGCCGUAAACGAUGUCAACUAGCCGUUGGAAUCCUUGAGAUUUUAGUGGCGCAGCUAACGCAUUAAGUUGACCGCCUGGGGAGUACGGCCGCAAGGUUAAACUCAAAUGAAUUGACGGGGCCCGCACAGCGGUGGAGCAUGUGGUUUAUU
RNAcentral lists this ribosomal RNA (858 nucleotides) under uncultured bacterium. Its description in RNAcentral is "bacterial SSU rRNA". It matches the Rfam family "Bacterial small subunit ribosomal RNA", at positions 93 to 950 of the family's 1533-position model. The record is from RNAcentral.